Molecule: ribosomal RNA, 245 nt
Filed under: uncultured bacterium
Lineage: Bacteria
Description: partial 16S ribosomal RNA
Rfam family: Bacterial small subunit ribosomal RNA
Source: RNAcentral
CGGUGGCGCAAGGGUGAGUAAGGCGACGGCAACCAACCCCGAGGCCGGGCAUAGCCGAGAGAAAUCUCGGGUAAUUCCCGGCGAGGCCGCAGUGGGGGCAUCCCCGCCCGGUCAAAGGUGCGAUUCCGCCUCGGGACGGACCGUCGUGGUAUUAGGUUGUUGGCGGGGUGACGGCCCACCAAGCCGAUGAUGCCUACCGGGCGUGCGAGCGUGGCCCGGCACACUGGGACUGAGACACUGCCCAG